Molecule: long non-coding RNA, 994 nt
Organism: Anopheles stephensi (Asian malaria mosquito)
Lineage: Eukaryota; Metazoa; Arthropoda; Insecta; Diptera; Culicidae
Exons: 4
Source: RefSeq, a predicted model, not a curated record
CUGCAGAAAAACGCUUCCCCGUUUUCCAGUUGUGUUGUGCACGGGAGAGCACAGAAUGCAGUUCACGCAUUCACUAUUUCCUUCGUAAAUGUACAUUUUGUAACGAAACUAUCUCCUCGCUUUCCUUUCUCAACCUGUGCUACUGUUUGUGUGCUCUGUCUCUGCUGGUGACUUCUAAUCAGUUCUACCAUCGUUCGUUUGUUUCGGUUAAAUCUACGCCAGCCAGCAAGGUUACCGCAGCAGCAGCAGCAGCAGGCAGCCUCUUGAAUGGAGCAGCGAUGAGUGGUGCGAUGGGCGAAUGAAAAGUUGCCGCAAAUAACUUCCGGAGACCGGAACGUGCAAAGUCAAAGUGUUAAUGAGAAAUCUUCCAUAUCACAUUCGUGCUUGUGUGUGUGUGUUUAGUACAUAAGUGAAAAGCGCCACGGCAAAAAGGUGAGCAUCGAAGCGCAAAUAAUUCAACCCAGACGACGGCGACGACGACGACGAUCGGUAUGCAAGGACACCGGGCAGCGACGCUUUCCAAUCGGCAUCGAAGUUGUAGCGAAGCAGGCGAGGACGAUUAAACGCGCGUCCCAGGAUACGAGACAGAGAGGGAGAGCGAAAGAGAGAGAGAGAGAGGGGAAGCGAGAGGCACGAUAGCAACAGCAUCGUUUGAUUGCCAUGGAAAAGUGACACACAAAAAAAUACACACAUAAUACAACACCCACGGCGUGGCAUGGAAGGAAUCCCAAAUGAAUGGGAUGGAAUUGGGAAUCAAAAGGACGAAAAGCGGCAGGCUGUGGAAAACGAUUUGCUCUCCGGCUUAUGGGGCAGAUGGGAGAGGGGACCACCCAUCCAAGAAAAGGCCGACAGGCAAUCGGUCAUAUUGGUCGCGGAGAGGACCCAAACGCGGGAUGUAUUCAAAAAAUGCAUUAUUUGAUUAAGCACAUCCGGUUCGGCAGACCGUUGGCGACCUAAACCAGUCAGGGCGGGGAGGACGGGAACGGGAAAGAGA